UUUGCCUUUGAAAUUGUUGUCCAGCUUCUGANAAUGAGGGANGGGACCGGCCCGUUAAAAAAGGNCUAGGUGUCCCAAGCCGANGUUUCNGUUGGGUUUUCCAAUGNGCAAGGGACCCCNGUUGGAGUUUUUGGAUCUUUUACUCGGGAGUUUUGUGAAAAACUUGUUUUUUUUGCAANUCGAAGAUGGGUUUGAGAGACACCUGGCAGGGGAGUAUAACGCCUACAAGUUAUAUAAAAAAACUAUGGCGGCCUAAUCAGUCGUUUUAAGCAUUUAACCCCAGUCGUCAAUGACGUUUCAUUUUCGAAAUGUGUAAUUGAAAACCAAAUACAACUUUAGACAAUGGAUCUCUUGGCUCACGCAUCGAUGAAGAACGUAGCGAAUUGCGAUAAUUAUUGUGAAUUGCAGAUUUAGUGAAUCAUCGAGUCUUUGAACGCAUAUUGCACCCUCUGGUAUUCCGGAGGGUAUGCUUGUUUGAGAACCGUUACAUCUCUCACAAACUGGACCUGAUUUCGGUCAGGAAAGGCAAGUGGAUCUGGCCGUUCCCUGCAAUCUUUUUAUUAAGAUAAUGGGAUGUGCUGAAAUUCAGUGAUCGGAGCUUGCGUGCUUAAAGGGUUUUCUCUCUAACAGUACCGUACUCUUUGAUAACCGACGUAGAUUAAUUGGGUACUUGCUACCUUUUCUCAGCGUCCGGAAAAUCGAGUCGCGAAACUUGAAAGAAUUCAUCCCAAACCUUUUCGCUAUGCCUAUAAGGUAACCGCGAGUAUACGGCUCAUACCUGAACAUGCCAGGCGAUCUAUAUACCGAAGCUGUCCCCGUACUUGCUUGCGAGUGGUUGGAUGUUUCGAUGCAAUAGGUUGUACACCUGAUACUUUGGUCUCAAAUCAAGCAAGACGACCCGCUGAACUUAAGCAUAUCAAUAAGCGGAGGA
RNAcentral lists this ribosomal RNA (931 nucleotides) under uncultured fungus. RNAcentral describes it as "eukaryotic LSU rRNA". The stretch from base 332 to 484 matches the Rfam family "5.8S ribosomal RNA". Lineage: Eukaryota; Fungi. The record is from RNAcentral.